GAUUAAGUUAUUAAGGGCGCACGGUGGAUGCCUUGGCACUAGAAGCCGAUGAAGGACGUUACUAACGACGAUAUGCUUUGGGGAGCUGUAAGUAAGCUUUGAUCCAGAGAUUUCCGAAUGGGGAAACCCAGCAUGAGUUAUGUCAUGUUAUCGAUAUGUGAAUACAUAGCAUAUCAGAAGGCACACCCGGAGAACUGAAACAUCUUAGUACCCGGAGGAAGAGAAAGAAAAUUCGAUUCCCUUAGUAGCGGCGAGCGAAACGGGAAGAGCCCAAACCAACAAGCUUGCUUGUUGGGGUUGUAGGACACUCUAUACGGAGUUACAAAGGACGACAUUAGACGAAUCAUCUGGAAAGAUGAAUCAAAGAAGGUAAUAAUCCUGUAGUCGAAAAUGUUGUCUCUCUUGAGUGGAUCCUGAGUACGACGGAGCACGUGAAAUUCCGUCGGAAUCUGGGAGGACCAUCUCCUAAGGCUAAAUACUCUCUAGUGACCGAUAGUGAACCAGUACCGUGAGGGAAAGGUGAAAAGCACCCCGGAAGGGGAGUGAAAUAGAACCUGAAACCGUGUGCUUACAAGUAGUCAGAGCCCGUUAAUGGGUGAUGGCGUGCCUUUUGUAGAAUGAACCGGCGAGUUACGAUUUGAUGCAAGGUUAAGCAGUAAAUGUGGAGCCGUAGCGAAAGCGAGUCUGAAUAGGGCGUUUAGUAUUUGGUCGUAGACCCGAAACCAGGUGAUCUACCCUUGGUCAGGUUGAAGUUCAGGUAACACUGAAUGGAGGACCGAACCGACUUACGUUGAAAAGUGAGCGGAUGAACUGAGGGUAGCGGAGAAAUUCCAAUCGAACCUGGAGAUAGCUGGUUCUCUCCGAAAUAGCUUUAGGGCUAGCCUCAAGUGAUGAUUAUUGGAGGUAGAGCACUGUUUGGACGAGGGGCCCCUCUCGGGUUACCGAAUUCAGACAAACUCCGAAUGCCAAUUAAUUUAACUUGGGAGUCAGAACAUGGGU
This 999-nucleotide ribosomal RNA is filed under the name Staphylococcus aureus. RNAcentral's name for it is "partial 23S ribosomal RNA". It matches the Rfam family "Bacterial large subunit ribosomal RNA", at positions 1 to 996 of the family's 2925-position model. The record is from RNAcentral. Lineage: Bacteria; Bacillati; Bacillota; Bacilli; Caryophanales; Staphylococcaceae.